Molecule: ribosomal RNA, 497 nt
Filed under: uncultured bacterium
Lineage: Bacteria
Description: partial 16S ribosomal RNA
Rfam family: Bacterial small subunit ribosomal RNA
Source: RNAcentral
GAUGAACGCUGGCGGCGUGCCUAAUACAUGCAAGUCGAGCGAACAGACGAGGAGCUUGCUCCUCUGACGUUAGCGGCGGACGGGUGAGUAACACGUGGAUAACCUACCUAUAAGACUGGGAUAACUUCGGGAAACCGGAGCUAAUACCGGAUAAUAUAUUGAACCGCAUGGUUCAAUAGUGAAAGACGGUUUUGCUGUCACUUAUAGAUGGAUCCGCGCCGCAUUAGCUAGUUGGUAAGGUAACGGCUUACCAAGGCUACGAUGCGUAGCCGACCUGCGAGAGUGGACAGCCACACUCGUACUUAGUCCCCGCCCCGGCUCCUUACGGAAGCAGCCGUAGGCACUCUUCCGCAAUGGGCAAAACCCAGCCCGUUCAACGCCGCGUGACUGAUUCACGUCUUUCGCACUAAAAACUCUGUUAAUAGGGGAAAACAAAUGUGUAAGGCACUGUUCACGUCUUGACGGUCCCUUCUCAGAAAGACAAGGCUAACUUCGUG